ACAAGGCCAUUCACUAUCAAAUAACAACUGCCAAGCUUUUAGAGAUUUGGGGAAACAAACGUCUGCGCAAGACGCCGCUGCCAGAGUAACUGCUGAAGAAGCUCGGAGUAUGAGAGAAGGACGGAGCAG
Melanotaenia boesemani (Boeseman's rainbowfish) is the source of this 129-nucleotide long non-coding RNA. RefSeq lists it as uncharacterized. NCBI's taxonomy places the organism in Eukaryota, Metazoa, Chordata, Actinopteri, Atheriniformes, Melanotaeniidae. The record is from RefSeq and is a predicted model, not a curated record. The transcript is spliced from 5 exons.